UUCCGUAGGUGAACCUGCGGAAGGAUCAUUAACGAAUUACAAAAGUCGGCCUUGCUGUUGCUGGUGGAAACACAUGUGCACGCUCGGUCGCAAAUCCACACACCUGUGCAUCUAUGACUCGAGGUUGUCGUCGUAUGACCGAGAGUAACUUUUACACACUCUUGAAUGUAACGGAAUGUCUUUUGUGCAUAAUGUACAUUUAAACAACUUUCAACAACGGAUCUCUUGGCUCUCGCAUCGAUGAAGAACGCAGCGAAAUGCGAUAAGUAAUGUGAAUUGCAGAAUUCAGUGAAUCAUCGAAUCUUUGAACGCACCUUGCACCCUUUGGUAUUCCGAAGGGUACGCCCGUUUGAGUGUCAUUGUAAUCUCACUUCUAUACCUUUUGGUGUUAGAAUGUGGACUUGGACGUCUGCCGUGUCACAGCGGCUCGUCUUAAAUGCCUGAGUGUACCCCGCUUUGCGGCGUAUUCGGUGUGAUAAACAUUUCACYGGAGUUGGUCUCUGACCGCGCUUUUAGCAAUUGGUGGGCUCUAUGCUUUCCAACCGUCYGUAAUGGACAAUCUUUGACAAUUUGACCUCAAAUCGGGCGGGACUACCCGCUGAACUUAAGCAUAUCAAUAAGCGGAGGAAAAGAAACUAACAAGGAUUCCCCUAGUAACGGCGAGUGAAGAGGGAAAAGCUCAAAUUUUGAAUCUGGUGUCUUUGACCCCCGAGUUGUAAUCUAGAGAAGUGUUUUCCGUGUCGGACCGUGUACAAGUUCCCUGGAACGGGGCGUCAUAGAGGGUGAGAAUCCCGUAUAUGCCACGGACUACCGAUGCUCUGUGAUACACUCUCAACGAGUCGAGUUGUUUGGGAAUGCAGCUCAAAAUGGGUGGUAAAUUCCAUCUAAAGCUAAAUAUUGGCGAGAGACCGAUAGCGAACAAGUACCGUGAGGGAAAGAUGAAAAGCACUUUGGAAAGAGAGUGAAACAGUACGUGAAAUUGUUGAAAGGGAAGCGUUUGAAGUCAGUCACAUCUGUUGGGAUUCAGCCUGGCUUCUGCCUGGUGUAUUUCCUUUCCGAUGGGUCAGCAUCAGUUUUGACCAAGGGAAAAAGACAUUUGGAAUGUGGCUGUCUUCGGGCAGUGUUAUAGCCUUGUGUUGUAUGUCUUGGUUGGGACUGAGGAACGCAGCGCGCCAUUUUGGCCGGGGGUCGCUCCUCUCGACACGCGCUUAGGAUGCUGGCAUAAUGGCUUUAAGCGGCCCGUCUUG
Molecule: ribosomal RNA, 1247 nt
Filed under: uncultured Sebacina
Lineage: Eukaryota; Fungi; Basidiomycota; Agaricomycetes; Sebacinales; Sebacinaceae
Description: eukaryotic LSU rRNA
Rfam family: Eukaryotic large subunit ribosomal RNA (bases 572-1247)
Source: RNAcentral